Molecule: non-coding RNA, 56 nt
Filed under: Nitrospirota bacterium
Lineage: Bacteria; Pseudomonadati; Nitrospirota
Description: Nitrospirae bacterium Li+-I sequence
Rfam family: nhaA-I RNA
About the family: Acidobacteria, Alphaproteobacteria, Betaproteobacteria and Gammaproteobacteria, Verrucomicrobia, cand. division NC10. Downstream gene
Source: RNAcentral
GGGUCCAGGCGCCUUUUGCCUGGAGGUUAAUUUUACCGGUGGUCGGGCCGCCAUCU